CAGAGAUGGGAUGUGGAGGGCUGGCACUGGCCUCCCGGUACAACCACUGUGUCCUGGAUGGGAUUGCAGCUCGCGAUUUUGAGAAGAAUUUAGCUGCUUUAACUCGUGGAGAUGAAAUUGUGGUGCUGCCAAAUCCUGAUCGAACGGUCUUCAAAGCGAGGAACCCACCAAGAAUCACUCACCCACACUACGAGUACUCCACAGCUGCCUACGAGACAGACAGCUUAUUCACAGUUUGUGGGACGAGUGGCAUCAAUGUCAAGGAUUGGUCACCACAUAAUAAUAAGACUUGCUUGAUCUAUAUGUCCCCCAGAAGGAUUGCCAGCUUGAAGAAGGCAGCUCUCAAGGAUGGGAAAUUAGGAAAAUGCAGCAGUUUCCAAGUUG
RNAcentral lists this unclassified non-coding RNA (384 nucleotides) under Hevea brasiliensis (rubber tree). Lineage: Eukaryota; Viridiplantae; Streptophyta; Magnoliopsida; Malpighiales; Euphorbiaceae. The record is from RNAcentral.